UUUUGGUGGGUUUUUGGAUAUGGAUGGUGUCAUGGCCCGACCUAGGUUGAUGUUUGAUUUCUUAGAGGAUUUUGUGGACAAAGUAUGGGUGGAUGGUGUUAUAGGUUCUUACAUCCCUCUUGUUAAUUAUUUAUCUAUCUUGUUAAAUGUUCAGAAUUCAGAUCUAUCUGGUUAUAUAUUCGGAACUCAUUCGCUGCUAGUCGUCUUAUGUUC
Molecule: long non-coding RNA, 213 nt
Filed under: Capsicum annuum
Lineage: Eukaryota; Viridiplantae; Streptophyta; Magnoliopsida; Solanales; Solanaceae
Description: long non-coding RNA (CANN_LNC008015)
Source: RNAcentral